This is a long non-coding RNA of Lolium perenne, 1948 nucleotides long. RefSeq lists it as uncharacterized. The record is from RefSeq and is a predicted model, not a curated record. Lineage: Eukaryota; Viridiplantae; Streptophyta; Magnoliopsida; Poales; Poaceae.
AUAAGUAAGUGCGUGCAGCCUAGAGCGAUUCCUGGGCUAUCCACGAUAGCCACGAUGUGCUCACUGGCUAGGCGCUGGCCUCCCGUCAUCUGCACUGUUGGUCCACCUGUCACCAUGUAACUGGCUGAAACGAGUGACGGAAACAAAAUCCAGGGGAAAAUGAGUUCGUGAGGACACUGAGCCCGAUCCCUACCCCAUUCCCUCGCGCCGCCGCCUCUCUCCUUCUCUCCUUGCUGCCGCCGCAUCCCGCGCCGCCGCGCCCCAUCCGCUUGUGCUCCCCCUCACUCACUGUGCCUCGUCCUCAAGCUCCUCCGCCCCCAUAUGCCGCUGCACUCGCGGGCGCAUCGUCGACGGCAGAAGUGAAGCAGCCCCCGCACCACCACGCCGACGAUGGUGGCAGAUCCCCUUCCGUGAGAAAUCAUGGAAGCUGUUCGACGGGGCACUGAAUCUCCUGCGGUCCUCAAGCAUCCGUCGGUGGCUUCAUCAUGGCCGAAGGAGAGACAGUAGACUCCGGUGAGAAGCCCCUCAACGAGUUCGGCUACAAGCAAGAUCUCUGGAGGGAUGGUAUUUCUAUACGGCCACGUUUAUUCCUUCAUAUUUUGUGCUUGUUCGUUACAUAUGGGAGGUAGAUUUUGAACCUGUCCAAUAGUGGAGCGCUACAAUUUUAGAAGCUGAUUAAUACCCCUCAGUGCUGAAUUCUAUAAUACGGUAAUCUGAGUGUUGAAAACAAGCUCAUCUAUGUCAGCGUGUUUUUUUCACAUUAAUAAAUGAAUGGCGUCGUGUUUAUUAUUUCUAUACAGGUAUCUCAGAGGUGCAGCUUCAGUUUUGCUGCAUUUAGAUUUAUCCCAUAUAAUCCAUUAAUAUACAAUAUACUUGUUAUAUAUUUACUCUCAUUCUUUCUUUCCUAAGAAUCUGAUGCAAAAGUCAUUUAUUUUCCAAGCCGAUUGAGCUACUCCCUCCGAUCCAUAUUAAUUGACUUCAAGAUGGAUGUAUCUAGAACUAAAAUGUGUCUAGAUACAUCCAUUUUAGAGUCAAUUAAUAUGAACCGGAGGGAGUACUAACAUAUGGUGGAGCAAAUAAUAACAAUUAUUAAAUGUGCAAACGUGAAGCUCAUAUUGGAGGUUAGCACGAUGACCAUUCUCCCAGUCCUUUUUACUAGCUUGUGGAUUAGUUUAUCCAUGUUUGUUAGGCUGGAAAUUCGAGUAACUUGGGUUUCUGCAGUUUGUCCUGGCUUGGGCCAUGCUUCUGAGAACCCAGAGCUUCCAAAUGUGAUGAAUGAAAAGGAAAUUAUUUUUCUUGGGCCACCAUCAGUUGUGAUUUCUGCAUUAGGCCAUAAGACUGGUUCUUCUCUUAUGAGCAAGCAGCAGUAGCUCCAACUCUUCCAUCGAGUGGAUCACAUAUAUGCAUUCUCCUAUUUUUGUAUAGUUCUGCUCUGGGUUUUUUCCUUGCUUAAAUAUAAAUUCUGAACCAACUUAUAGCUCAAGUUCGUACUAUCUUUCUGAAUUCAUUUAUAAGUUUUUCAUCAUCUUCUAUAUUUACAGAUUCGCCGAAUAGAUGACCAAGGCAAUCGAUUCGAGGAGAGACCUGCGGAUUUGGACUUGUGGGAGCGUGUCUCUAAUGGCUUGACUGAGGAAGGAUUUGGUUGAUUGGAAGGAUCACAACCUGCAGCUCUACUGGUGGAAACAAAAUGAUGACGCGGAAUUUUACUGCUCAAGAAUUAAUUAAGUUUUACAAAAUUUUGAGGGCACAUGUUCUUCUGGUGGAAUGACCCUGCAGGGCUCAGGCGUACACCAUAGCGAAUUUUAUGAAGCUAUACUUGAAUUUGAACACUUCCAGAUUUCUCUGAGCUCGAUUGUUUCCAAAAAAAAAUGUGCUUUUGUUCUUCUCUUGAGGUGGCAAUUAAGAUUGAAAUAGCUCAUAAGCAAUAAAUGUCCUUGAUUUCUUUUUA